This 76-nucleotide transfer RNA is filed under the name Deltaproteobacteria bacterium. RNAcentral describes it as "tRNA-Glu". It matches the Rfam family "tRNA". Rfam says of the family: Transfer RNA (tRNA) molecules are approximately 80 nucleotides in length. The record is from RNAcentral. Lineage: Bacteria; Pseudomonadati; Myxococcota; Myxococcia.
GCUCCCAUCGUCUAGAGGUCCAGGACACCGCCCUCUCACGGCGGAGACAGGGGUUCGAUUCCCCUUGGGAGUACCA